This 486-nucleotide ribosomal RNA is filed under the name uncultured bacterium. RNAcentral's name for it is "partial 16S ribosomal RNA". It matches the Rfam family "Bacterial small subunit ribosomal RNA", at positions 28 to 523 of the family's 1533-position model. The record is from RNAcentral.
GAUGAACGCUGGCGGCGUGCUUAACACAUGCAAGUCGAACGGAAAGGCCCCAGCUUGCUGGGGUACUCGAGUGGCGAACGGGUGAGUAACACGUGGGUGAUCUGCCCUGCACUUUGGGAUAAGCUUGGGAAACUGGGUCUAAUACCGAAUAUGACCACUUCUUGGAUGUUGUGGUGGAAAGCUCUUGCGGUGUGGGAUGAGCCUGCGGCCUAUCAGCUUGUUGGUGGGGUAAUGGCCUACCAAGGCGGCGACGGGUAUCCGGCCUGAGAGGGUGUACGGACACAUUGGGACUGAGAUACGGCCCAGACUCCUACGGGAGGCAGCAGUGGGGAAUAUUGCACAAUGGGCGCAAGCCUGAUGCAGCGACGCCGCGUGGGGGAUGAAGGCCUUCGGGUUGUAAACUCCUUUCGCUGUCGACGAAGCCACUUGUGGUGACGGUAGGUAGAUAAGAAGCACCGGCUAACUACGUGCCAGCCGCCGCCGUAA